CUCAUCAGAAAACGUUCAGUGGCAACGUUGGUCCACUUGGAACGACGUUACCAUCUCACAAUCUGGCCUCUCAGAGUGUGAGAUGGUAACAUUUUGUCAGCCCAUUGUUUUGCAUUGGCGUGUUCUCACGUCACGUGACUCACAAGCUCCCGUCUGCGGAGAGGAAAACAUGGCGGAUAUUCCUUGUUCUCUCAGAUAAAAAUAUAGUUUUGUAACUUAGUUUGGGCAUAAAAAUACAUUCUGACACCAUUUCUAGCGAGAAAUGUGCUCUUUGCUUCCACAGUCUUCAGCCAGUUCGUGCUUAUGAUAAAUAUUUUAAUAGUUAUCGCGAAUGUUUUUAUCGUUGCUAUGAGGGUUGCUAUGACGCUGCCAUGCCAGCACGGCGCAGCGUGCUGUUAAAAUCACCGUCCCUGCGUGGUGUCCCUCAGUGAUCGUGAAUGUUAUUCACGUUAUAUAAUAUUAAUAUUUGAGGCUAGAUUACACCUCUAAUGCGAAGGAUCCUGCGAGACCGUUCAUCCCGAAGGGGGACCGACUGCGCCACGGACGGACCAGGCGAGCGGAACUGACGUGUGGCUUUUAGUAAACAUCCGGUUCUUUAACUCGGGGCUGCGUAGUAACCACCGAGCGCUGGGAAGACAAACGAUGUCAUCUUCCUUCUGUCAGGACGAUCCAAGUGAAGGUACAGGAGUUUCAUUAACGUCAAUAACUUGGACCGAACACUUUGUUUUGCUUGAUGAAGAGCAGGAAGGGCAGCCUGGAGAGAAAGAGAAGCCGGGUUGAGCCCACUACCAUCAUCCACGUACCACGAGGAAGAUGCGGGAGAGAAAUGAUCCUACCAUUAAAGAGGAAGGCAAGUCAAUUUAAGGAAUACAUGUUCAAAGUUUUCCUCUGUUAUGUAUAAUGAUGACCCCCAUCAAACAUAAUGUUAGCAAUCUUUACACCUUUUAAUUUAUUCUGAUUAUUUCUGUCUACAUGUGUGAAUUUGCCUUCAUUAGUUUCAGAAAAGAGCGAUGAUGUAUCGGUCACGGGGCGGCAGCACGAGACUCCGCAAACUAGUCUGUAAGCAAAGUAGACAAAGGCAUCAAGGUUGCGGCCUGCCAUCAUUGUUAUUUUGCUUAAGGGACUGAAUAUGUAUCAUGUAGAAAUAUUAGCAUUUCCCUUAUAUCUACCAAAACUGCUUGUUUCACAGACUGCAGUUUUGUUUUGGUCCGAUGUGGUGUGCAAAUACAACCGUAUCGGCAAUGGGUUGUGGGGCAUUAACAUUUGUAACUCUAAUUUUGUUUUGACAGACUGUGAAAAGAGCGUUGCGAACAUCACCAAUCUACAGGAAGACACAGUCCAGUAAUGGGUGUCAGAAGUUCAGUAGUGAAUGACAGGAAGGACUGAUGCAUGUACUGAGACGGGACGUGAGGGCCUACUCUGCGUGCUCAGAGUUCAAGCCCAGCAGGGUGCAGCGGGCCUGACAUAUUCCGGAACAGCAGCACAGUCUUUGGAUGACUCCUCUGAAGAUGAAAACAUGGCGAGGUACUUCUCCACUGAUGAAGAACUGUGAGGGCUGUGAUUAGCUACACUCUCUUGCUACAAGGCUACUCUUGCUACUCCCUGGCAGCCUUAGGAAGGCAUUAGCUUGCUGUUGGGUAGCUUCCCUGGAAGCAUACGUGUGUAUGUAUACAUACACACGUACAAACGCACUAUUGAGACGUUUUGUUUUUUAUCAUAUAUUCUCAGGAAGGACUGAUGCAUGUACUGAGACGGGACGUGAGGGCCUACUCUGCGUGCUCAGAGUUCAAGCCCAGCAGGGUGCAGCGGGCCUGACAUAUUCCGGAACAGCAGCACAGUCUUUGGAUGACUCCUCUGAAGAUGAAAACAUGGCGAGUUCUUCUCAAGAGAAGCAGUACAGGUGUGCCUCAGCUCCACGGUCCCUCCUGCAGCCUCCGCUCCUGAUGCUAACCUCAUGUCUCCAUCACACCAAGCAGCAGACCUGGAGUGACAGACCUUUCUCCAGAGCUGCUCCCUCCCUCUGAAACCCCCCUCUCCAAAACACUAUUUGUGGCGUUUUUAAAGUCUUAUUUGCAUGAGAAUUGUUGAUCAUAACAUUUCCAGCAGAUGCCUUAAUGUAAUGUUUUUGAACAAUAAAUGACAUUUAUCAUAA
Molecule: long non-coding RNA, 2152 nt
Organism: Platichthys flesus (European flounder)
Lineage: Eukaryota; Metazoa; Chordata; Actinopteri; Pleuronectiformes; Pleuronectidae
Exons: 5
Source: RefSeq, a predicted model, not a curated record